This 1038-nucleotide long non-coding RNA is filed under the name Ficedula albicollis (Collared flycatcher). RNAcentral's name for it is "lncRNA (ENSFALG00000024039.1)". Lineage: Eukaryota; Metazoa; Chordata; Aves; Passeriformes; Muscicapidae. The record is from RNAcentral.
CCCCCCCCCCCCCCCCCCCCCCCCCCCCCCCCCCCCCCCCCCCCCCCCCCCCCCCCCCCCCCCCCCCCCCCCCCCCCCCCCCCGCUCUUCCGAUCUCACUUUGUCACCCCUGCACACCCCAUCACUGCCUCGGGCCCAGACACCCCCCCAAGACUUUGUCACCCCUCCACACCCCCUCAUGGCCCCGGGCCCAGUCACCCCUCCAGGCCCUUCCACCCCCCCACCCUGUCACCCCCGGCCCGGUGCCAAGACUGCCCUGAGCCACCGCCCCCUCCCAGCCCCGGUCACGAAUCCAUUCGGGGCCAGCCCGGAGCUGUGGGAUGAGCUCUGGCACAGCCUGAGGCCUCUCCCAGCCUUUGCCCAACAAAGGGCCCUGCUUUGGCCCGGCCAGGGGAAUGGACACUCAGGACACAGCAGGAGCUGGUGACCCCGACUCUCCUGCACAAACACUGAGCAAGAGGAGCCUUCUGUCACCCGUCAGUGGUGACAGAGCUGUCCCCAAGUGCCUGCGGCAGGGUCUGUGCCCUGCUGGGGAGUCCCAGACCCCCAGGGCUGCUUGGCUGGAAGAGAAGCCACAGGGGAGCUGGUGGCAGGGGGAGGUGGGACAAGCAGGGGGUCACAGCCUGAGUUUGUUUAUACUUUUCAUUGUUGCUGCUGGUUUAGAUACUCUGCCAGUGCAUGAAUAUCACUGUUAUCACUGUAAAUGGCUAAGAAAAACCCACAUGUUCUGAAGCCACGCCUGACUUGUUUUCAUUUCUAAGGAUACUUUGUUUUGCACUCCUUAAGAUAUUUUAAAGGCAUCUGGAGACAGCAUUUUUCCUGCCACCCCUAUCUGUGCCUCUCGGGCAGUAAGUGCCCACAGAAGCAGAUGUUAUUUUAUGAAUCCUGGUCUUUUGUGCUGCAAUGCAUUUCUCCCUUCCUGCUAGCCCGCAGGAUCACGGGGAGGGCAGCAGGGUGGGCCUGGGCAGCCAGAUCUGCCCUGCCCCUCCCUCAACCCACCCAGGGACUCCAGACACAGCUGUUCUGCCUGCUGGAAGC